UACGGGGGGGGCAAGCGUUGUUCGGAAUUACUGGGCGUAAAGGGCGCGUAGGCGGCCUGCUAAGUCGGAUGUGAAAUCCCUCGGCUCAACCGAGGAACUGCAUCCGAUACUGGCGGGCUUGAAUCCGGGAGAGGGAUGUGGAAUUCCAGGUGUAGCGGUGAAAUGCGUAGAUAUCAGGAAGAACACCCGUGGCGAAAGCGGCUCUCUGGAACGGUACUGACGCUCAUGCACGAAAGCGUGGGGAGCAAACAGG
Molecule: ribosomal RNA, 253 nt
Filed under: uncultured bacterium
Lineage: Bacteria
Description: partial 16S ribosomal RNA
Rfam family: Bacterial small subunit ribosomal RNA
Source: RNAcentral